This is a long non-coding RNA of Manihot esculenta (cassava), 522 nucleotides long. RefSeq lists it as uncharacterized. The transcript has 3 exons. The record is from RefSeq and is a predicted model, not a curated record. NCBI's taxonomy places the organism in Eukaryota, Viridiplantae, Streptophyta, Magnoliopsida, Malpighiales, Euphorbiaceae.
UCAAAUUCUCCAAAGAAUCAGUCCCCAAUUGCUGUCGAGAUUUUUACCCUUUCUCGGUGAUCAAAUCCCCCAAGAAUCAAUCUCCAGUCGCUGUCGACAUUUAGGUUCUUCUUCAUUAUGCUGAGAUUGCAAGUCUUAUUUUUCUAUCAUGAUUGGAAGCCUCCAACUUGCUGCCGAGAAUGGGAUUUCCUGCAUUUGUGAAUCAAUUGUUGCCGAAAUUAAUUUGAAAACUUGAACAAGUUUAUGUCUCUACUGUACAAGCACGCAAUUAUCCUGUGACUGCUUUCCAAUGGCAUCCAGAGUGCAGAUCUAAUUUUACAAAUAAUGAAGAUAUUGAAGUGAUUUUAUUUUGAAAACUCCUUCAAAGGAACUUAGAGGGCAUUAUUAUUAUCGAUUUAUUUCGAUAUUUAUAUUUUUUUUAGUUAUUUUCAAGAUAUGUAUAAAGUAAAUGUGAAUACUUAUUUAUAAUUAUUUUUCCAGACAAUUCUUAUAACAUUAUUGACUUAAUUACAUAUAUUGAUG